UAUGUGAUCGUCUCUCGCAUAUCAAUAAGCGGAGGAAAAGAAACUAACAAGGAUUCCCCUAGUAACGGCGAGUGAAGCGGGAAGAGCUCAAAUUUGAAAUCUUAAAGGGUUUCCCUUUACGAAUUGUAGUUUAAAGAAGUGUUUUCUGUUGGAGUUUCGGUAAAAGUUCUUUGGAAUAGGACAUCAUAGAGGGUGAGAAUCCCGUAUUUGACCUUUACUUUCAACUUUGUGAUACACUUUCAAAGAGUCGGAUUGUUUGGGAAUGCAGUCCAAAAUGGGUGGUAAAUUUCAUCUAAAGCUAAAUAUUGGCGAGAGACCGAUAGCGAACAAGUACCGUGAGGGAAAGAUGAAAAGAACUUUGAAAAGAGAGUUAAACAGUACGUGAAAUUGUCAAAAGGGGAGCGUUUGACACCAGUGUUGUUUUUCUGAAAAUCAAUUAAAGAACUGUUUAUGCUAAGCUGUUUAGACUUUAUCAGCUAUCUGUUUAGUUUUGAGCUUUUCUUUAAUGCACUUUUCAGUUAACAAGUCAACAUCAAUUUCUUUUGCUGUAAAAAAGCUUGAGGAAGGUGGCUUGGGAUUCGUCUUAAGUGUUUAUAGCCUCUUGCCUAUGCAGUCGGAGAGAUUGAGGUCUGCAGCGUAGAUCCUUCGGGGCUAAAUGCAUUUGUGCUAAGUUAUAGCAUUUUAUAGACAACUUGUUGACUAUGAUUUGUCUUGUAGCUUACUCGCUUAUGUUAUUUUACCUACGCUUAGGAUGUUGAUAUGCAUGACUGAUAU
This 774-nucleotide ribosomal RNA is filed under the name uncultured Neocallimastigales. Its description in RNAcentral is "partial large subunit ribosomal RNA". It matches the Rfam family "Eukaryotic large subunit ribosomal RNA", at positions 24 to 640 of the family's 3401-position model. Lineage: Eukaryota; Fungi; Neocallimastigomycota; Neocallimastigomycetes; Neocallimastigales. The record is from RNAcentral.